This 498-nucleotide ribosomal RNA is filed under the name uncultured bacterium. RNAcentral describes it as "bacterial SSU rRNA". It matches the Rfam family "Bacterial small subunit ribosomal RNA", at positions 899 to 1397 of the family's 1533-position model. The record is from RNAcentral.
ACUCAAAUGAAUAGACGGGGGCCCGCACAAGCGGUGGAGUAUGUGGUUUAAUUCGAAGCAACGCGAAGAACCUUACCAAGGCUUGACAUCCCGUUGACCGGCGUAGAGAUACGCCUUCCCUUCGGGGCAAUGGUGACAGGUGGUGCAUGGUUGUCGUCAGCUCGUGCCGUGAGGUGUUGGGUUAAGUCCCGCAACGAGCGCAACCCUUGUUUUCAGUAGCCAGCGGUUCGGCCGGGCACUCUGGAAAGACUGCCGUGGAUAACACGGAGGAAGGUGGGGAUGACGUCAAAUCAUCAUGCCCCUUAUGUCUUGGGCUACACACGUACUACAAUGGGCGCGACAAAGUGAGGCGACGGCGCAAGCCUAAGCAAAGCACAAAAAAGCGCUCUCAGUUCGGAUUGUGGGCUGCAACCCGCCCGCAUGAAGUUGGAAUCGCUAGUAAUCGCGGAUCAGCAUGCCGCGGUGAAUACGUUCCCGGGCCUUGUACACACCGCCCGU